Heterocephalus glaber (naked mole-rat) is the source of this 1036-nucleotide long non-coding RNA. The record is from Ensembl. Lineage: Eukaryota; Metazoa; Chordata; Mammalia; Rodentia; Bathyergidae.
GGAGGAAUCUAAGUCUCACUGUCAAAUUCACAAAAUCCCAAACCCACUGAGUGAGCAACAGAUGAGAGAAAUUGUUCCACAUCCCACCGAGAGGAAAUGAACGGGACUGGAAGAAGAAUGUGCUGCGUGGUGUGAAAGCUGUUUUGAUUCCUGAUGCUGAACAUCUGCCACAUGGCGCAGGGAGCCACCAUCUCGUACACACAGCAAGGACCCUCUGUGCACAGGCGGGAGCUGUGGCCCUCAGCAGCUGUGGGAACGCGGACAGGAAGCAGGGGACCCUGGAAGAGAGACAUCUGCCAUGACACAGGUUCGGAUAAUAGCCACUGCCACCAAGUUGUCUAAGGCCUGGUCCUCUCUGGCUCUGUGCCUUUCAGAUCUCCAGAAGGUUUGAACACCGAGGAGGCUUCAACUUCUUCCUGUGAGGAGAGAGGAGAGCAGCUUGGAAGGCUCGUUCUCAGUACAGCUCAUUUUCUCAUGGGGAUUCCUCUCCCUCUGAAGCCUGCUUGGUGGACCAUGUGGCUUCAUUCAGGCACUCAGUGAAUACUCAAUAAAUGCUCCUCGAAUUGAGUGCGCCUUCUUAGAAUCCUCAGCAUUCCCACCAGGACGUCCUACACCCCAGUGACAUCCCUAAUAUCUCCGUACACCAUCUAGGCUUCAGACCCAGCUUCCUCCGAGACCACUGCUGCAUCUUUGUUUCACAUUCUCACAGGUUUUACUGAGAAAUGUGACCAUCCACCUGCACCCAGCAAACUAAAGGGAAGGAGGUCAGGAGCAAGGAUCCGCCCACAGAACGCAAGAGUCACAAAGCAGUGUUCAAAAGACUCCAGGAUUUGGAGCUGAACAUCUCUUCUGAUUUCCCAAAGCUGAUGGAAAUAUUCUGGAGGUAUUAAUAGAAUGCAGAUGUUGGAGAAUGCGACUUAGAAUUCUGCUGAACAAAUGACCCUGUUGGGAGGUCGUUUCCAGUCUCCGGGGACAUUCCGCAGAGGGCCCAGCUGAUUGUCUCAUAUUGAAACAACAUGUCCAAAACACAUUCCCG